AUGGCGCCGAUGCCGACGCCGGCGCCGCCGGGCACGGAGGCCGCGGAGUCGAGGUGCGCGGCGGAGAGGGAGGAGAGGACGAGGAAGCGGUCGGCGCGGGAGCGCGGGAAGGACGGCGGCGCGUGCGGCUGCGGGCGGAGCACGACGCGGAUGGUGGCCGUGGAGAGCGGCUGCAGGGCGCCGCGCGGCGGGCUGACGAGGAACUUGAGCGGGGAGGAGGUCUGCACCUUGAAGGCGACGGGGAGCGUCGGGUGCAGCGAGCGGAGGCGGAGGUCGACGCGGCACUUGGCGUUGGGCUUGAAGUCGACGACCACCUCCUCCUCCGCCACCUCCAGCAGCUGCUGCUCGGGUUCUGGCGCCGCCGCCGGUUUGGCUGCGUCGGCGGAAUUGGCGGGAGCGGAGCAGGCUGGCUUAGCAGCGGCCAUCGGUCUCCGUUGGGAGGUGCUUCUACGAGCGCGGGGUGGAACUGGAAGCAAGGAGUGGUGUCUGGCUAAUGGCUGUACGCCUGUACCUAGGAUGACGCUUUGCUCUUUUGCUGGCACGCUGGAUCGGGCAAUCAGAGGAUGUUGA
RNAcentral lists this ribosomal RNA (570 nucleotides) under Triticum aestivum (bread wheat). Its description in RNAcentral is "partial small subunit ribosomal RNA". Lineage: Eukaryota; Viridiplantae; Streptophyta; Magnoliopsida; Poales; Poaceae. The record is from RNAcentral.